RNAcentral lists this long non-coding RNA (1720 nucleotides) under Ananas comosus (pineapple). Its description in RNAcentral is "long non-coding RNA (ACOM_LNC030082)". Lineage: Eukaryota; Viridiplantae; Streptophyta; Magnoliopsida; Poales; Bromeliaceae. The record is from RNAcentral.
AUUAAUUUUAAGGCCUAGAGAGGAGGAGACAGAGUUUAGACUCAUCCAACAUAUUGGAUUUUAUUAGGUUUUAUUGGGUUUUUUGUGAUUUAAAAUUUGUUAAGCCUCUUGAAAACUCCAUAAUUAUUAAUGGCCUUGUUUGGGAGCCCAACAAAAAUUUUCAUAUAUAAGGUUUAGUCCCACAUUAGAAACCAAAAGAAUGUUGAUAGUAUAUAAAUAUUCCUUUAUUCUCAAGCUAAUUGUUUGGAAGAAAAUUAGAGUUAUGUUCUCGUUUAAAUAAACGCACACACGAGCUGGGCCGGGCCGGAGGCGGCGGGCGUGGUUCAUACACCCAGUUUAUUUUAUUUUUAUUUUUCGAUUUUAUCGGUUUUCUAAUUAUAAUCCUAAUUCUUAUCCGUAUAAUUUUAGGUUUAUUUUGUUCUACACGGAUUUCACGCAUUGAAACAAGAUUCUUGCCUUUGUUAUAAAUAUUUGAAUAAGAACCCGAGCAUAUCUAAACCCUCUCGCCUUUUCCUGUUUUCUCGCCAUUAAUCGUUUCCGCCAGUUUUCGCCAAAUUUUCUUUGCUGGAUCUGAAGCUUGUUGAGUUCAUCUUGCGCCAUCUUGAAAGCGUGCCGAUAGGGUGAAAAGUGAUCAUUGUAUCGCUAGGAGUAAUUGCCGGGAAGCCUCGCACGUGGAGGGAUAAUUUCGCUUCUAAGACAAUACUCUGCAAGCCUCAAUCCAUAGGCCUUUUCUAUUCCUUAUCUUUACAAUAUUUUUGUUUAAUUUCGUCUCGAAAUUUCUCUAAAACUGUAAUUAAACUUUCGAGUUGUUUUUAAAAAAUAUUAUAAUAAAAGAUCAUAAAGAAUUUUUCCGACACAACAAACUUAGGCCCAAACCUUCUAUCCAAUCCAACCCAAACUCUUUUAAGACAUGGUUUCGUCUGCUUCUGCUUCUGCUUUCAAUAGUAGCCAUAUUCAGUAUAACGUUAACCGGCCGGCGAACAAGAUUUCGAUGAAUUAGAAAAGUUACUGGAAUGAUACUACAGUUAAAAUGAAUCAUUCCCACAUAGAGAUCAACUAUAUUACCUCCACUACCUAUCGAAUAGAGUAUCUGAAUCUCUUUUUUUCUUUUUCUUUUUUUUUUUUUGAGAGAGAGAUAGGUAGCACGCUAUCCGCUUCGUUUAUUUUAUUUAGAAAUAAAUUUAGCUAAAAGUGUGAAUCAACUAGGAUUCGAACUUAGGUCUCGGGUACCAAUCACCAAGCCCAGAUGAGAACUUGGCAUAUUUACGAUCCCAUAUGAGAACGUCUUAAGCAUGUUGAGACCUGAUCUCUCAUAUUUGAACUAUUUAAUAAAUAAAUUUUGUGAUUUUUUAAUAUCAUUUGUCUAGAAAUCGAAAGAAUUUAAAAUCAACAAGUAAAAAUAAAAAUCUCACAAAAAGUUAUGAUGUAGCAUUAAAAUUUUUGAUGAGAGAUAUUGAUCUUAUUGUAGAUAGUACAAAAAAAAAUUUAUCAAAAUUUCAUUUAAUUUAAAUACUUCUACACCGUUAAACUUAUAAAGGGCACACAUCAAUCAUUAAAAAUUAUUAAUUUUGAAUCAUUUCGUUCAUUAGAUAAAUAAUAUUAAAAAUUUGUAAAAGUUAUUUUAUAAAUACUUCAAAUAUGUUAGAUCAAAUCUAAUGAAGCUGAUCGUCGAUCCAAAAAUUUCAUAAUCCAAAACCACUUAGAAAUAAAAAGGCCUCCA